CAUUAAGAAGCUAGAUAAGCAUUAACCUUUUAAGUUAAAGAUCGGGAGCUUAAAUCUCCCCUUAAUGA
This 68-nucleotide transfer RNA is filed under the name Caracal caracal. RNAcentral describes it as "tRNA-Lys". It matches the Rfam family "tRNA". Rfam says of the family: Transfer RNA (tRNA) molecules are approximately 80 nucleotides in length. Their secondary structure includes four short double-helical elements and three loops (D, anti-codon, and T loops). The record is from RNAcentral. Lineage: Eukaryota; Metazoa; Chordata; Mammalia; Carnivora; Felidae.